Thalassophryne amazonica is the source of this 93-nucleotide long non-coding RNA. RefSeq lists it as uncharacterized. The record is from RefSeq and is a predicted model, not a curated record. The transcript is spliced from 3 exons. NCBI's taxonomy places the organism in Eukaryota, Metazoa, Chordata, Actinopteri, Batrachoidiformes, Batrachoididae.
CUCCGGGUGCUCCAGCUUCCUCCCACAUCCAAAGACAUGCAGCUUAGGUGGACUGCAACCUUUAAAUUGUUCAUAGUGCACUGGUAGACUAAG